AGAAAUGGACAUCAUCAUUUAUCUUUCUCAACAUUAUUGCUGUAUUAAACACAUUAGAAAAAAAGAAGACUAUUAAAAUUUGGCAGUUUUGUUCCUGUGGUGCAAUGAUGUCAGUUCAUUUUGUUUGGAAAAAGCAGAUGCUGAUAAGCUUAUGAGUACUUUUUUUGCUGUAAUUGUGAGGUACUUAUUGAUAAAGAAAUAGCCUUUCUAUGAUUUGGAUAAUUUAUUUCCGUAUUAAAAUCAUUUUGUCAACUGUUAUGUAAGUGCCAAAUUAAAGACAGACGUGAUUAGAAAUGAAAUAUCAUAAUACAACUACUGUGGAUUCAUUUAGUUUUUUUGGGUACUAAUUUUCAUGGAUUAGGAAGACUUGCAUAUUCGUGGAUAUUUGUUUGUGUGGUUUUUGUAGAGCCUGUGACUUUUUUUCGCAAUAGCUUGACAUAGGGAUAGUGAUCCAGCGGAGGCAUUAGCUAUCUUCUUAAAAGCUUUUAUAUUUUAGGAGGUGGAAGACCUGGAUGCCUCAAACUUUGUAUAUGGAUGCCUCAUGUCACAAAGUUUCCGUCAGUCCCAUGUCUAAUGUCCUUGACCUCAUUUUCAUGGUUCAGUGACUACUUGAAAAAAGUGAACAUUUUUGGUAAUGUUAAUUUCUCUCUUAUUAUAAAUAAUAACAUAACUAUAUUUGGUAUGUGCCUACCUUGCAAGGUCCUCAUGUCCGUCAGACAGUUUCCACUUGAUCUCGACCUCAUUUCAUGGAUCAGUGAACAAAGUUAAGUUUUGAUGGUCAAUUCCAUAUCUCAAAUACUAUAAGCAAUAGGUCUUGUAUAUUCGGUGAAUGGAAGGACUGUAAGGUGUACAUGUCCAACUGGCAGGUGUCAUCUGACCUUGACCUCAUUUUCAUGGUUCAGUGGUUAUAGUUAAGUUUUUGUGUUUUGGUCUGUUUUUCUUAUACUAUAUGCAAUAGGUGUACUAUAUUUUGUGUAUAAAAUGAUUGUAGGGUGUACAUGUCUAGCUGACAGGUGUCAUCUGACCCUAUUUUCAUGAUUUAGUGACUCAAGUGAAGGUUUUUGGGAUACGAUUGCUUUCAAGCAAUUGUAGACUUAUACGAUUGGAUCAGGGUGUCAUGCCCUCACGUCAACCGUUUUAUUCUAAACAUUUUGGAACAUCUCAGAUUCUUAUGAUUGUCUUGGUUUAAAAGGUAAAAACAAACAAAUGGAUUGAACUUAAACAACUGUCCUAUAAUGUUCUCUUCAUAAUCUUCAUGUUUGAUAUUUCCCUUGACUUAUAUGCGUGUUUUUAACAACACAGAAAAUCAGAAUUAAGCAGUAUUUGUAUUUAGUGUUUUUAUAAAUUUAGAAACACGUCAGAGAGAAUUUCCCAGUUGUGAUAAAAAUGCAAGAGUUCUCUGAAUUCCAAUAAAUCUAUUUCUGUCAUAUACGAACUGAAGUGGAGUUUUUCUUAUAAUGUCACUGUUAUGAAACUGGUAUUUGAUAAUGUACUUCCAUAAAGAAAUAGAGAACCAUCUAGGUCGUUUAAUUAAUGUACGUUCUUGCUCUAGGGUUUGUUUAAAUAAUUAUGCGCAUGCGUUUAGUUUUCUUGACUUCAAGGGGUAUUAGAUUGAAUAGUUGCUCUGGAUUUCCCACUCAAUUUAUUAAUUUAUAACUCAUGGGAUCCUUUCUAUGUAUGUCUACUAUUGAGGGUUAUUGUUGUUGCAUAAUUCUAAAUCAUAUGCAUCAUUUAAAUUAAAAUAAAUGUAGUCCACAUCGUAAAAGUAACUACAACACCCUUUCAGGCGAAAUGGAGUCUUCCAUAUUAUCGUUUCGAGUUGUCUCCCUUCUGGAAGUAACUGAAUCAAAACAACAUGUUGAGAAAAAUAAAAUUGUUUUGUCGAUAAACGUCGUAUUAUAUUAAAAACGAUUGCAAUUUAAACCGAGGAAUGUGUACGGAAAGACGUCAUGAUCACUGACCCAAAGGAAAUUAAAUAUAUAAAGAGUUAGGAAUGGGGUUUCUCCUAUAAUUAACGUAGGAAAAUAGGUGAUAAAUGUAUAAAUGAUUUAUUUUUCAGGUUUUAUGGACAUAUUUUAUUUCCUUGCACCCAAUGUUGUAUGAUGAUUCGUCAUGGCUCACCAAGUGUAGAAAUUCCAAGAUGACUCAAGAAGAGAUUUUAUUCGCUAUAUUCCGUUCAAAUUUUGAUCGUGAUUCUAUAAUUGAACUUUGUACACCUUAACUAAUGGACAAAUGUUGAAAUAUUUUGACACAGAAGCAGAGAUGGGUCUGAUUACUUUC
This 2280-nucleotide long non-coding RNA is filed under the name Mytilus galloprovincialis (Mediterranean mussel). The record is from RNAcentral. Lineage: Eukaryota; Metazoa; Mollusca; Bivalvia; Mytilida; Mytilidae.